GACAGACGUCUGGUCUCUCUCUCUCUGGGCCGCUGAUGGACAUGUGUGGCUCUUCUGAUGCUCCUCAUUGGUCAGAUUUGUGCAGAGACGAGCAGCAGCUCAAACGUCUGUCGGGAUCAGAACGCUCUUCAUGAGCAGAUGGACGCAGUAGAGAAGGUUUGAAAUGUUCUGUCCUCAAAGUUCUAGGUGUAUAUCUUACUGUGUGACUUGAGCGGGUGGAGGACUCUCUUCAGGAGCUGGAGGCGGAGCUGGCUCUUCUGCUGGAUGCUGUGGAGGCCCCUGAGUGGAGCCCCCUGCUGGACAAGCCACUCAUCGACAUACUGGACCAAUCUCACAGACUCUCAAACCAUAACAUCAGGAUUUUUACAUGAUAAACAGGGAAUCUGUCCACAGAAACAUUGUGUGUUAAUAUGUUUAGUCAGGUUCAAAAGAUGCAAUCACAAUGUUUACUAACCUUUUUUUAUUUUUCAGAAAAAUAGGAGUUAAUAUAACUAACAUUCGUUAAACCUACUCUAACUAAUGUAUACUUCUGUGUUCAGUCAGCACUUGUAGUAUAGCUACACUUGAGUGUACUUGAGUAUGACAGAUGGGUUCAAGUGUACUACAAGUGCUGACUGAAUACAUUUUAAAUAAAGAGAUACAGAAAAGAUUUAAUUCAUAUUCAUGGUGUCCCAAAAUAGUCCAGUUGAGUACACUCAGAUUAUUUUAUCUU
Long non-coding RNA from Carassius auratus (goldfish), 712 nucleotides. RefSeq lists it as uncharacterized. The record is from RefSeq and is a predicted model, not a curated record. The transcript has 3 exons. NCBI's taxonomy places the organism in Eukaryota, Metazoa, Chordata, Actinopteri, Cypriniformes, Cyprinidae.